GAUGAACGCUGGCGGCGUGCCUAAUACAUGCCAGUCGAGCGAACAGACGAGGAGCUUGCUCCUCUGACGUUAGCGGCGGACGGGUGAGUAACACGUGGAUAACCUACCUAUAAGACUGGGAUAACUUCGGGAAACCGGAGCUAAUACCGGAUAAUAUAUUGAACCGCAUGGUUCAAUAGUGAAAGAAGGUUUUGCUGUCACUUAUAGAUGGAUCCGCGCCGCAUUAGCUAGUUGGUAAGGUAACGGCUUACCAAGGCGACGAUGCGUAGCCGACCUGAGAGGGUGAUCGGCCACACUGGAACUGAGACACGGUCCAGACUCCUACGGGAGGCAGCAGUAGGGAAUCUUCCGCAAUGGGCGAAAGCCUGACGGAGCAACGCCGCGUGAGUGAUGAAGGUCUUCUGAUCGUAAAACUCUGUUAUUAGGGAAGAACAAAUGUGUAAGUAACUAUGCACGUCUUGACGGUACCUAAUCAGAAAGCCACGGCUAACUACGUG
RNAcentral lists this ribosomal RNA (497 nucleotides) under uncultured bacterium. RNAcentral's name for it is "partial 16S ribosomal RNA". It matches the Rfam family "Bacterial small subunit ribosomal RNA", at positions 28 to 507 of the family's 1533-position model. The record is from RNAcentral.